Ciona intestinalis (vase tunicate) is the source of this 310-nucleotide non-coding RNA. NCBI's taxonomy places the organism in Eukaryota, Metazoa, Chordata, Ascidiacea, Phlebobranchia, Cionidae. The record is from RefSeq and is a predicted model, not a curated record.
CCUACCCUACUAUAUAUACAUAUCGUCUAUGUUUGUUAAAGGUUUGAUUACGGAGAGCGUUUCUGGGACGUUAAAUGUCGUCAGUUCACCUGCCAAUGCGGAUCACCAGUAUGUAAAUAUUCAAGUGAAGUUUAUAAGAAUAAAGCCGAACAAGAGCUACAACAACAUAAUGAAAAUAAUGACGUCACAAACGACGUGGAAAUGAAAGCUUCAUCAGCGAACAACGAAAUCGUGGAUUAACACUUCAUGUUGAAGAAGCCAUGUUUUUAUGUGGGAUUUUUUUAUCUAGAAAUAAAAAUUUGGCCGGGUA